Molecule: ribosomal RNA, 477 nt
Filed under: uncultured bacterium
Lineage: Bacteria
Description: partial 16S ribosomal RNA
Rfam family: Bacterial small subunit ribosomal RNA
Source: RNAcentral
GAUUAACGCUGGCGGCGUGCAUAACACAUGCAAGUCGAACGAUGAAACUUAGUAGACUUCUUCGGAAAGACACUAAGCGGAUUAGUGGCGACCGGGUGAGUAACGCGUGAGUAACCUGCCUUACACAAGGGGAUAGCCUUUGGAAACGAAGAAUAAUACCCUAUCAAACCAUAAAAGCACAUGCUAGAAUGGUCAAAGUGAUAGCGGUGUAAGAUGGACUUGCGUCUGAUUAGCUAGUUGGUGAGAUAAAAGCUCACCAAGGCAACGAUCAGUAGCCGGCUUGAGAGAGUGUACGGCCACAUUGGGACUGAGACACGGCCCAGACUCCUACGGGAGGCAGCAGUGGGGAAUUUUGCACAAUGGGGGAAACCCUGAUGCAGCGACGCCGCGUGAUUUAGAAGGCCUUCGGGUUGUAAAAAUCUUUUGUAUAGGAAGAAAAUGACAGUACUAUACGAAUAAGGUCCGGCUAAUUACGUG